This 429-nucleotide ribosomal RNA is filed under the name Bacteroidota bacterium. Its description in RNAcentral is "Bacteroidetes bacterium partial 16S ribosomal RNA". It matches the Rfam family "Bacterial small subunit ribosomal RNA", at positions 355 to 776 of the family's 1533-position model. The record is from RNAcentral. Lineage: Bacteria; Pseudomonadati; Bacteroidota.
UAGGGAAUCUUCCGCAAUGGACGCAAGUCUGACGGAGCAACGCCGCGUGAGUGAAGAAGGAUUUCGGUUCGUAAAACUCUGUUGUUAGAGAAGAACAGCGCAUAGAGUAACUGUUAUGCGUGUGACGGUAUCUAACCAGAAAGCCACGGCUAACUACGUGCCAGCAGCCGCGGUAAUACGUAGGUGGCAAGCGUUGUCCGGAUUUAUUGGGCGUAAAGCGAGCGCAGGCGGUCAAUUAAGUCUGAUGUGAAAGCCCCCGGCUCAACCGGGGAGGGUCAUUGGAAACUGGUUGACUUGAGUGCAGAAGAGGAGAGGGGAAUUCCAUGUGUAGCGGUGAAAUGCGUAGAUAUAUGGAGGAACGCCAGUGGCGAAGGCGACUCUCUGGUCUGUAACUGAAGCUGAGGUUCGAAAGCGUGGGUAGCAAACAGG